This 1759-nucleotide long non-coding RNA is filed under the name Citrus sinensis (sweet orange). RNAcentral describes it as "long non-coding RNA (CSIN_LNC004690)". Lineage: Eukaryota; Viridiplantae; Streptophyta; Magnoliopsida; Sapindales; Rutaceae. The record is from RNAcentral.
UUAAAGCUUUAUGAAGGUUGUAUUCUCAGUUAUGAUGAGCUCAAUGAUAGCGUUGUGAUCAACCUUUGUUUGAAUUUGAAUGAGGUUAUUUAUAGUUGGAGCUGAAAAAUAGCCGUUACUAACUGUCUCCCCAUAAACGGAUCGCCGUUAACCAUUAACGGUUAACCGUUUGUACUGGUCAAAGUUACCGUUGAGCCAAAUUUCAAAUAAAUGGUUGACCGUUUGUCACUACCCUUUCAGCGUUAAUUUCCAGAGACCUGCAAAACAAAUUUCUGCUAUCCGUUUUUGCUGAACGGUUAAAGGUUAGCAUAAAAUGACACCCUGGAAAUUAUCGGUUAGCCAUUUGAAGUUAACGGUUCGCCAGUUAUUUCCAGUGACCUGCAAAAGGAAAUAGCCUUAUCUGCUUCAGUUAAACAGUGCAAGAUUAAUAAAAGCUUCUAUUCUUGAAUUUAUCGGUUAACCAUUUGCUAUAAAUGGUUCACCGUUUAAUUCCAGUGACCUUCCUAGACCAUUUAUGUUUUCUGUUUCUGCUAACCGGUUAGAGCUUAAACAAUUGUCCCUCUCUGGAUUUUAUCGGUUAACUGUUUUGAAGUAAACGGUUCACCGUUUACUUCCAGAAUCACAGUUUUAGCCAAAUAUCACAGGGAAUCAUUUUCCAAUUGAAGUAUAUUUAACUACACAUCUUUCAUGAACACAAUUGGAAUGAUUAUAUGGCUUUUGUUUAUUAAUGAAUAGCACCAACAUUUUAAUCAAAAACAUUUAAAGUUUGUUACCAUCAAAAUCAUGUUAACAUUCUCCCCCUUUUUGAUGAUGACAACUUUCUUUUCAAUAUUUUGGUCCCUCUAACUAUAUGCUCCCCCUAAAUAUAUGGACAAUUUAAAAUUGUUCAAUAAACAGAUUUUUACUCAAUAAAUCAUUUUUAAAAAAAAUUAUUUCAAAAGUAAAUUUUAUACUUAAUUAUUGCUAUCUCCUCCUUCAUCAUUUUAUACUCAUUAUUCAUUUUAGCAGAAAAAAGAAUACUUAUUCAUUAUCAAUCCUUAUUCAUUAUUAAAACUUAUUCAUAAUAAAAAAGAAAAGAUAGAAAAAGAAUACAUAAAACAUAGAAUUGAGGAAGAGAUUACCCAGAGUAAACUAGUAGAAAUUUUGGCAGAGUCUCCGCUUAAAAAUGGAUACAGAAUAUGAUUAAAAACACUUCCAAAUAUGAUAUAACAAGUUUGUCAAACCAACAACUCCAACAAGUCAAUAAUUCAAUCACAUAUACUCAACCAUCAUCAAAAUCAUGUAAAGGAAUCCAUUAAAAUCAUCAACAAAACAUAAUGGAAUCAAAGCACAAAUAUAUAAGUAUCAAGAACACACACACACACACAUAUAUAUAGACAUAAUAUGAAAUGUAUGUGCGAUAAGAUAAAGAAUAGAACUAUGAUGGAGGUGGUGAAGAUGAACUGCCAGGGUCAUAGCCAAAAUAACAAAGGAGAGUUCACUGUCCAGCAAUAAGCUCAAGCUGCUGAUCGAUGCUUUGUUGCUGAAAAGUUUGAAAUUGAGAGCGUAGCUGCUGCUGAUUUCGAGAAAGAAUGUCCAAACUAUCGAGAAUCAGCUGCUGCCGCUCAGAAAGUCUGUGAACAUCAACAACUAACUGCUGUAAAGUGUCCGAUGCUGGGGGCUCGGCAAAAGUAAGAGGCGACUCAGGAACAGAAGACAGCCUGAGAGCAGUAGGCUGCUCGGGAGAUAGAGGCGGCUCAGAAGUGGAGGGAAUAUCAGU